AACGCUGGCGGCGUUCCUAACACAUGCUAGUCGCACGAGAAAGGGGAGCAAUCCGUGAGUAAAGUGGCGCACGGGUGAGUAACACGUGAAUUAUCUACCUCCGAGUGGGGAAUAACUGAGAGUAAUCUUAGCUAAUACAGCAUAACACUUAUGAGUCAAAGCAGCAAUGCGCUUGGACAGGAGUACGCGGCCUAUUAGUUAGUUGACGGGGUAAUGGCCCACCAAGACGAUGAUCGGUAUCAGGCUUGAGAGGGCGCUCGGACACANUGAAACUGAAACACGGUCCAGACUCAUUACGGGAGGCAGCAGUGGGUUAUUUGGCGCAAUGGGGUUAACCUUGACUCAGCUACGCUGCGUGGAGGAUGAAAUAG
RNAcentral lists this ribosomal RNA (371 nucleotides) under uncultured Acidobacteriota bacterium. RNAcentral's name for it is "bacterial SSU rRNA". It matches the Rfam family "Bacterial small subunit ribosomal RNA", at positions 32 to 416 of the family's 1533-position model. The record is from RNAcentral. Lineage: Bacteria; Pseudomonadati; Acidobacteriota.